Molecule: ribosomal RNA, 468 nt
Filed under: uncultured bacterium
Lineage: Bacteria
Description: partial 16S ribosomal RNA
Rfam family: Bacterial small subunit ribosomal RNA
Source: RNAcentral
GACGAACGCUGGCGGCGUGCUUAACACAUGCAAGUCGAACGGAAAGGCCCUGCUUUUGUGGUGUUCUCGAGUGGCGAACGGGUGAGUAACACGUGAGCAACCUGCCCUAUACUUUCGGAUAACUUCAGGAAACUAGAGCUAAUACCGGAUAGGAGCUCCUGCUGCAUUGUGGGGAUUGGAAAUUUUCGGCGGUUGGGGAUAGACUCGCGGCUUAUCACUUAGUUGGUGGGGUAGUGGCUUACCUAAGCGUUGGCGGAUAGCCGGCCUGAGAGGGUGACCGGCCACAUGGGGACUAGGGAACGGCCAAGAGUCACACGGGGGGAAGCAGUGGGGAAUCUUGCACAGAGGGAGGAAGCCUGAUGCAGCAGCCCCGCGUGCGGGAUGACCGCCUUCGGGUUGUAAACCGCUUUCGCUUGUGACGAAGCGUUAGUGACGGUAAUGGGUAAAGAAGCACCGGCUAACUACGUG